RNAcentral lists this ribosomal RNA (467 nucleotides) under uncultured bacterium. RNAcentral describes it as "partial 16S ribosomal RNA". It matches the Rfam family "Bacterial small subunit ribosomal RNA", at positions 30 to 507 of the family's 1533-position model. The record is from RNAcentral.
GCGAACGCUGGCGGCGUGCUUACCACAUGCAAGUCGAACGGAAAGGCCCUGCUUUUGUGGGGUGCUCGAGUGGCGAACGGGUGAGUAACACGUGAGUAACCUGCCCUUGACUUUGGGAUAACUUCAGGAAACUGGGGUUAAUACCGGAUAGGAGUUCCUGCUGCAUGGUGGGGGUUGGAAAUUUUCGGCGGUUGGGGAUGGACUCGCGGCUUAUCAGCUUGUUGGUGGGGUAGUGGCUUACCAAGGCUUUGACGGGUAGCCGGCCUGAGAGGGUGACCGGCCACAUUGGGACUGAGAUACGGCCCAGACUCCUACGGGAGGCAGCAGUGGGGAAUAUUGCACAAUGGGCGGAAGCCUGAUGCAGCAACGCCGCGUGCGGGAUGACGGCCUUCGGGUUGUAAACCGCUUUCGCCUGUGACGAAGCGUGAGUGACGGUAAUGGGUAAAGAAGCACCGGCUAACUACGUG